GGGUUGUGAGGUUAAGCGACUAAGCGUACACGGUGGAUGCCCUGGCAGUCAGAGGCGAUGAAGGACGUGCUAAUCUGCGAUAAGCGUCGGUAAGGUGAUAUGAACCGUUAUAACCGGCGAUUUCCGAAUGGGGAAACCCAGUGUGUUUCGACACACUAUCAUUAACUGAAUCCAUAGGUUAAUGAGGCGAACCGGGGGAACUGAAACAUCUAAGUACCCCGAGGAAAAGAAAUCAACCGAGAUUCCCCCAGUAGCGGCGAGCGAACGGGGAGCAGCCCAGAGCCUGAAUCAGUGUGUGUGUUAGUGGAAGCGUCUGGAAAGGCGCGCGAUACAGGGUGACAGCCCCGUACACAAAAAUGCACAUGCUGUGAGCUCGAUGAGUAGGGCGGGACACGUGGUAUCCUGUCUGAAUAUGGGGGGACCAUCCUCCAAGGCUAAAUACUCCUGACUGACCGAUAGUGAACCAGUACCGUGAGGGAAAGGCGAAAAGAACCCCGGCGAGGGGAGUGAAAAAGAACCUGAAACCGUGUACGUACAAGCAGUGGGAGCACGCUUAGGCGUGUGACUGCGUACCUUUUGUAUAAUGGGUCAGCGACUUAUAUUCUGUAGCAAGGUUAACCGAAUAGGGGAGCCGAAGGGAAACCGAGUCUUAACUGGGCGUUAAGUUGCAGGGUAUAGACCCGAAACCCGGUGAUCUAGCCAUGGGCAGGUUGAAGGUUGGGUAACACUAACUGGAGGACCGAACCGACUAAUGUUGAAAAAUUAGCGGAUGACUUGUGGCUGGGGGUGAAAGGCCAAUCAAACCGGGAGAUAGCUGGUUCUCCCCGAAAGCUAUUUAGGUAGCGCCUCGUGAAUUCAUCUCCGGGGGUAGAGCACUGUUUCGGCAAGGGGGUCAUCCCGACUUACCAACCCGAUGCAAACUGCGAAUACCGGAGAAUGUUAUCACGGGAGACACACGGCGGGUGCUAACGUCCGUCGUGAAGAGGGAAACAACCCAGACCGCCAGCUAAGGUCCCAAAGUCAUGGUUAAGUGGGAAACGAUGUGGGAAGGCCCAGACAGCCAGGAUGUUGGCUUAGAAGCAGCCAUCAUUUAAAGAAAGCGUAAUAGCUCACUGGUCGAGUCGGCCUGCGCGGAAGAUGUAACGGGGCUAAACCAUGCACCGAAGCUGCGGCAGCGACGCUUAUGCGUUGUUGGGUAGGGGAGCGUUCUGUAAGCCUGCGAAGGUGUGCUGUGAGGCAUGCUGGAGGUAUCAGAAGUGCGAAUGCUGACAUAAGUAACGAUAAAGCGGGUGAAAAGCCCGCUCGCCGGAAGACCAAGGGUUCCUGUCCAACGUUAAUCGGGGCAGGGUGAGUCGACCCCUAAGGCGAGGCCGAAAGGCGUAGUCGAUGGGAAACAGGUUAAUAUUCCUGUACUUGGUGUUACUGCGAAGGGGGGACGGAGAAGGCUAUGUUGGCCGGGCGACGGUUGUCCCGGUUUAAGCGUGUAGGCUGGUUUUCCAGGCAAAUCCGGAAAAUCAAGGCUGAGGCGUGAUGACGAGGCACUACGGUGCUGAAGCAACAAAUGCCCUGCUUCCAGGAAAAGCCUCUAAGCAUCAGGUAACAUCAAAUCGUACCCCAAACCGACACAGGUGGUCAGGUAGAGAAUACCAAGGCGCUUGAGAGAACUCGGGUGAAGGAACUAGGCAAAAUGGUGCCGUAACUUCGGGAGAAGGCACGCUGAUAUGUAGGUGAGGUCCCUCGCGGAUGGAGCUGAAAUCAGUCGAAGAUACCAGCUGGC
RNAcentral lists this ribosomal RNA (1777 nucleotides) under Escherichia coli. RNAcentral describes it as "partial 23S ribosomal RNA". It matches the Rfam family "Bacterial large subunit ribosomal RNA", at positions 1 to 1794 of the family's 2925-position model. The record is from RNAcentral. Lineage: Bacteria; Pseudomonadati; Pseudomonadota; Gammaproteobacteria; Enterobacterales; Enterobacteriaceae.